GGGGUAUUAGCUCAGUUGGGAGAGCGCCUGCUUUGCACGCAGGGGGUCAGCGGUUCAAGUCCGCUAUGCUCCA
This 73-nucleotide transfer RNA is filed under the name Enterococcus phage phiSHEF13. RNAcentral describes it as "tRNA-Ala". It matches the Rfam family "tRNA". Rfam says of the family: Transfer RNA (tRNA) molecules are approximately 80 nucleotides in length. Their secondary structure includes four short double-helical elements and three loops (D, anti-codon, and T loops). Further hydrogen bonds mediate the characteristic L-shaped molecular structure. tRNAs have two regions of fundamental functional importance: the anti-codon, which is responsible for specific mRNA codon recognition, and the 3' end, to which the tRNAs corresponding amino acid is attached (by aminoacyl-tRNA synthetases). tRNAs cope with the degeneracy of the genetic code in two manners: having more than one tRNA (with a specific anti-codon) for a particular amino acid; and 'wobble' base-pairing, i.e. permitting non-standard base-pairing at the 3rd anti-codon position. The record is from RNAcentral. Lineage: Duplodnaviria; Heunggongvirae; Uroviricota; Caudoviricetes; Herelleviridae.